GAUGAACGCUGGCGGCGUGCCUAAUACAUGCAAGUCGAGCGAACAGAUAAGGAGCUUGCUCCUUUGACGUUAGCGGCGGACGGGUGAGUAACACGUGGGUAACCUACCUAUAAGACUGGACUAACUCCGGGAAACCGGGGCUAAUGCCGGAUAACAUUUAGAACCGCAUGGUUCUAAAGUGAAAGAUGGUUUUGCUAUCACUUAUAGAUGGACCCGCGCCGUAUUAGCUAGUUGGUAAGGUAACGGCUUACCAAGGCAACGAUACGUAGCCGACCUGAGAGGGUGAUCGGCCACACUGGAACUGAGACACGGUCCAGACUCCUACGGGAGGCAGCAGUAGGGAAUCUUCCGCAAUGGGCGAAAGCCUGACGGAGCAACGCCGCGUGAGUGAUGAAGGUCUUCGGAUCGUAAAACUCUGUUAUUAGGGAAGAACAAAUGUGUAAGUAACUGUGCACGUCUUGACGGUACCUAAUCAGAAAGCCACGGCUAACUACGUG
This 497-nucleotide ribosomal RNA is filed under the name uncultured bacterium. Its description in RNAcentral is "partial 16S ribosomal RNA". It matches the Rfam family "Bacterial small subunit ribosomal RNA", at positions 28 to 507 of the family's 1533-position model. The record is from RNAcentral.